CGGCGGACGGGUGAGUAAUGUCUGGGAAACUGCCCGAUGGAGGGGGAUAACUACUGGAAACGGUAGCUAAUACCGCAUAACGUCGCAAGACCAAAGCGGGGGACCUCCGGGCCUCGCGCCAUCAGAUGAACCCAUAUGGGAUUAGCUUGUAGGUAAGGUAACGGCUUACCUAGGCGACGAUCCCUAGCUGGUCUGAGAGGAUGAUCAGCCACACUGGGACUGAGACACGGCCCAG
This 235-nucleotide ribosomal RNA is filed under the name uncultured bacterium. RNAcentral describes it as "partial 16S ribosomal RNA". It matches the Rfam family "Bacterial small subunit ribosomal RNA", at positions 96 to 334 of the family's 1533-position model. The record is from RNAcentral.